AUUGAACGCUGGCGGCAGGCCUAACACAUGCAAGUCGAGCGGAUGAAGGGAGCUUGCUCCUGGAUUCAGCGGAGGACGGGUGAGUAAUGCCUAGGAAUCUGCCUGGGAGUGGGGGAUAACGUCCGGAAACGGGCGCUAAUACCGCAUACGUCCUGAGGGAGAACGUGGGGGAUCUUCGGACCUCACGCUAUCAGAUGAGCCUAGGUCGGAUUAGCUAGUUGGUGGGGUAAAGGCCUACCAAGGCGACGAUCCGUAACUGGUCUGAGAGGAUGAUCAGUCACACUGGAACUGAGACACGGUCCAGACUCCUACGGGAGGCAGCAGUGGGGAAUAUUGGACAAUGGGCGAAAGCCUGAUCCAGCCAUGCCGCGUGUGUGAAGAAGGUCUUCGGAUUGUAAAGCACUUUAAGUUGGGAGGAAGGGCAGUAAGUUAAUACCUUGCUGUUUUGACGUUACCAACAGAAUAAGCACCGGCUAACUUCGUG
This 484-nucleotide ribosomal RNA is filed under the name uncultured bacterium. RNAcentral describes it as "partial 16S ribosomal RNA". It matches the Rfam family "Bacterial small subunit ribosomal RNA", at positions 30 to 507 of the family's 1533-position model. The record is from RNAcentral.